CUUGACCGACCCCAGCCACAGCGGCCGCUCCGCGGGCCGCUCCUGGCCGUAGGUGGCCAGCAGCGCCUGGGCCUC
Non-coding RNA from Streptomyces sparsogenes DSM 40356, 75 nucleotides. It matches the Rfam family "ASpks TB sRNA". NCBI's taxonomy places the organism in Bacteria, Bacillati, Actinomycetota, Actinomycetes, Kitasatosporales, Streptomycetaceae. The record is from Rfam.